Long non-coding RNA from Patella vulgata (common limpet), 1612 nucleotides. RefSeq lists it as uncharacterized. NCBI's taxonomy places the organism in Eukaryota, Metazoa, Mollusca, Gastropoda, Patellidae. The record is from RefSeq and is a predicted model, not a curated record. The transcript is spliced from 4 exons.
GGUGUAUAAGAUAAAUAUUGUAUGUAAGUGUUGGCCUGAUAGUAAAGAGGUGUUAUAUGUAUAGUCAGUGUGUGUAAGAGCAAUAAUUAAAGAUAUAAAACGGUCUCAAAAAGAAUGACUGAUCAUCAUGUAGCCUAGAGACGGUCAUCAUGAACCAUUCUGGCCAAUUCGCCAUUUCCCUAGUUCUACUAUUGUUGGCAGCGGCUGGCUAUUUAGUGGCCUUGGCAACAACAUCGUGGUCAAUUAGUGGUCAGUUAUUAGUGUUUGGACUAUGGCAAUAUUGUUUUCUUGAUACUAAACCUGAUGGAGAGAAAAUCUGGAAGUGUCUGACAAACAACACAGAUUUUACAAUGGUGUCCCAAGCAUUUUCAAUUUUAGCAGUAAUGUGUUAUUUUGUUGCCUUCCUGUUGUAUGUGGCAUCAGUUCUCAUGCCUAGUUUACAUAGAUGUCGACCAAUGAUAAUGGCUCUCUGUCUACUUACAUUCUGUAUAGUGAGUCUACAGAUUAUGUCAAUGGUUGUGUUUGGUGUUAAGAUCGGACAUUAUUUCAAAAAGUUAGAAGAUAAACACUUUGACAUUUCACUGGAGCCAUUAACCAUAUCCUGGUCAUCUACCAUUGGUAUUAUCUCAAAUAUUUUAGCCACGGCAGCUGGUGUGUGUUUAUUUUUAGAAUUGCGUAAUGUGGCAGUGGAAGAACUUAAUGUUUGAUAAUUCCAGGGCAUGAUUUAUUCAACGAAAAGAUAGUGCUAUGUAGAUUGGAAAUAUAUUAUUUACUAUUGUAUUAUGAAUGGUUGUGGAUUGAAGACAGCGUUGGGCGUGAGAAAUAAUAGAAAUCACAACAAUGAUGCCAAGCAAAACAAGGACAAAUAUUACACUAUCUCGUGUGUAUUCCUGAACCUCGUGUAUAUUUUCUACAUUUUGUACUUUUGCUUUUUUUUAUAUAAUUGAAAGAAAAUAACCAUUACCGUAACAGUUUAAUUUCGUUCAUUUACUAUUUAUCAUUAGUUGAUGUUUAUGUGUACCUAAUGGGACAUAAAACAUAAACUUUAUUACACCCUAGAGAAUAUCAAUUUAUAUCUUAACUACCUUUUCCCGGUCUGUCUUUUAAUAUGGAUUCUUUUUAAAUUCUAAUUAAUGAAUCUGAACUUUUCUUGGUAUUAUAUUGCCUCUAAUCUUAUUAAAAUCAGAUUUUAUUUUGUGCCGUUCCAUUAACAGAUAAUUGUGUCAAUAACCAAAGGGGUUCAAAAGACUUUAUGGAAUUGUUUGCAUCACGGGUUUUGAUGGGUAGGUUGAACUGGGGUCGUUAUCAUGUAUUAUUAAAUGUGGGCUGUAAGGUUUGUCUUUAGGCCCGGGUGUAAUUGAGUGAACCAUCGAAAAAUAAAACGUAACGAAAUAUAAUUUUAAUUAGACCGUAAACCCUUAGCCAGUAUGUUGUUUUGUCUUUAACAAUACAUGUUACUGCCAUCAUCCAUCACAUUAUAUAUAAACAAAUGCAUUAAGAGAAAUAACCACCUUUAUUAUAUACACUUUAUAAAGGAAUGGAAACAAAAAGUUGAGUUGUAGUUGGAGAAAAGAUGUCUUCAGCUCUCUUUAAUAAAAUGUAUUCAUCAAGA